GAUGAACGCUAGCUACAGGCUUAACACAUGCAAGUCGCAGGGUAACAUGAGGAAAGCUUGCUUUCCUUGAUGCCGACUGGCGCACGGGUGAGUAACGCGUAUCCAACCUUCCCAUAACUACGGGAUAACCCGUUGAAAGACGGCCUAAUACCGUAUGAUAUCGUUUGCUGACAUCAAAUAACGAUUAAAGGUUUAGCGGUUAUGGAUGGGGAUGCGUCUGAUUAGCUUGUGGGCGGGGUAACGGCCCACCAAGGCGACGAUCAGGAGGGGUUCUGAGGGGAAGGUCCCCCAGAAUGGAACUAAGACACAGACCAAACUCCGACGGAAGGCAGCAGUGAGGAAUAUUAGUCAAUGGGCGAGAGCCUGACCCAGCCAAGUAGCGUGCAGGAUGACGGCCCUAGGGGUUGUAAACUGCUUUGAUGUGGGGAUAAAGUGCGUGACGUGUCAUGCAUUGCAGGUACCAAAUGAAUAAGGACCGGCUAAUUCCGUG
RNAcentral lists this ribosomal RNA (490 nucleotides) under uncultured bacterium. Its description in RNAcentral is "partial 16S ribosomal RNA". It matches the Rfam family "Bacterial small subunit ribosomal RNA", at positions 28 to 507 of the family's 1533-position model. The record is from RNAcentral.